UUUUCUUUCUCCACUUCAACCCAAAUCUGAUGUAACUUUAGCUGUUGUGAACCGUGAAGCUACGCACACACCAGCCUUGAUAACGCUCCCUCAAGCAUUCACUUCCAAUUGAAAAGUCUUUGCAAAUGCGCGUUUCGGGCUUUUGCGUUAAAAACUCUUGCGUUCACACGUAGCUACUCAAUUUAUUGACAAUUUUCUCGCUUAACAUGCCAAACGCGUGGCCGUUGAACGGGAGUUUCCAGCUAAACCAAGUCAAACUUUGACCAUUCAGGGACUUGGAUGGUGUCCCUUUCAGUUCACGGGGUAGCCAAGCAUCACAUUUGAAAGUUGUCUGAUCAUGGAGGAGAAAAUAAUAAGUUUUCCCAGCUGGAAUCGUAUGAUACCAAGUCUUUCAUAUAUUGGAAUAGAGCUGUGAAGGACAAGUCCUGGAGCAGUGUGUCGGAGAAGGUUGGAUUGCCACGAUCAAGAAGGAAGAGGAAACGGCCCCCAGAGGAGUCUGUGGACCUUGAGAGAGAGAUCCUUCGGGCUCUGCAGGCCGGGCCACAUGUCCCCCCACCACCACCUCUGUCAGAAACUGAGCUUUUUAUGAAAAGUUUAAUCCCAAUGAUUGACAGCCUCCCUCCUCUGAGGAGGGGGGCUUUAAAGUUAAAAAUACACAGUCUGGUUUUUGAAUCUGUUUCUGAGUUCUUAUGAAAUAGAUGUUUCUUUUUCUUGUAGAUUGUGGUGUUGACUAUGAAAUGAGCAAAUUGUUGUUUGUUUUUUGUUUUGUUUUUUUUUACACUGCUCCUUUUACUUAUUUAGUUUUAAUCCAGUGAUUAAAAAGUCACUUUUCAUUUAGAUCAAAUGUAAUCAAAGUGUCAUUAAAUGCAGAGAAAAUCAAGAAGUUUUUUUUCCUGUAUUUGUUUCUUCUGACUGCAAUUACUAAUUUAUUUAAUUGUAUAUUAAGCCAUUUAACUGUUUGAUAAAAAAACCAAAAACAAACAUGGGCUAAACCCGCGUCGAAUCAAAUGCCGGUUGUGUACGUAGCUUGAGGUUCAGUCUGCAGAUCCAUUUGACCUUUAACAUCCUAUGCUAAAGGUCAAAUGUAAAGCACAAAUAAAUAAGUCACUU
Long non-coding RNA from Oryzias melastigma (Indian medaka), 1110 nucleotides. RefSeq lists it as uncharacterized. The record is from RefSeq and is a predicted model, not a curated record. Lineage: Eukaryota; Metazoa; Chordata; Actinopteri; Beloniformes; Adrianichthyidae. The transcript has 2 exons.